Molecule: ribosomal RNA, 468 nt
Filed under: uncultured bacterium
Lineage: Bacteria
Description: partial 16S ribosomal RNA
Rfam family: Bacterial small subunit ribosomal RNA
Source: RNAcentral
GACGAACGCUGGCGGCGUGCUUAACACAUGCAAGUCGAACGGAAAGGCCCUGCUUUUGUGGGGUGCUCGAGUGGCGAACGGGUGAGUAACACGUGAGUAACCUGCCCUUGACUUUGGGAUAACUUCAGGAAACUGGGUCUAAUACCGGAUAGGAUCUCCUGCUGCAUGGUGUGGGUUGGAAAGUUUCGGCGGUUGGGGAUGUUCUCGCGGCUUAUCAGCUUGUUGGUGGGGUAGUGGCUUACCAAGGCUUUGACGGGUAGCCGGCAUGAGAGGGUGACCGGAGACAAUGGGACUGAGAUACGGCACAGACUCCAACGGGAGGCAGCAGUGGGGAAUAUUGCACAAUGGGCGGAAGCCUGAUGCAGAAACGCCGCGUGCGGGAUGACGGCCUUCGGGUUGUAAACCGAUUUAGACUGUGACGAAGCGUGAGUGACGGUAAUGGGUAAAGAAGCACCGGCUAACUACGUG